UAGGACAGGUUGGGGCCAAAGCUCUCAGAGAGCAAAAGGCUCAGAGGCAAUUUCAUAGGCUGUCGGAGAUGGAAAGAACCUGAGUUCAACCCCCUCAUUUCUCAGGAAGAAGGGAGCAGCUGAGUACUGCAGAAGCUAAGGGACUGGCUCAAGGCCACACAGUCAAUGAGAGCUGGGGGUCUAAGUCUCCUGACUCCUGGUCCUGGGCUUUUCUCAGGUUCAAACAUUUAUUUCCCAGAGCCAGCACCAAAUAGGACCUACCCUGGAGGUAUUCAGGAUGAAAAGGAUCAUCUUUGCCUUUAAGUUCCUAUGAGGGAGUUGGAGCCCAGACCAGAAGAAGAGGCCUCUCCAACCAAGGACUAGCAGCAGACGGAGAAUAUUAAUGGGGCCGACGAUGGGCUGUGUUCCCCCAAUAACUUUGGAAUGACCCUUCCCUGGUUUCCAGCACCCUCAACCUCACAUCCUAUUUCAUCUGUGGACAUGUGUAACCUCUCCUAGAAGACCAUAAACUUCUUGAGGACAAGGA
This is a long non-coding RNA of Vombatus ursinus (common wombat), 526 nucleotides long. RefSeq lists it as uncharacterized. Lineage: Eukaryota; Metazoa; Chordata; Mammalia; Diprotodontia; Vombatidae. The transcript has 2 exons. The record is from RefSeq and is a predicted model, not a curated record.